This 253-nucleotide ribosomal RNA is filed under the name uncultured bacterium. Its description in RNAcentral is "partial 16S ribosomal RNA". It matches the Rfam family "Bacterial small subunit ribosomal RNA", at positions 524 to 776 of the family's 1533-position model. The record is from RNAcentral.
UACGUAGGGGGCAAGCGUUGUCCGGAUUUAUUGGGCGUAAAGAGCUCGUAGGCGGCUCGUCGCGUCAGCUGUGAAAACCCGCGGCUUAACCGUGGGCUUGCAGCUGAUACGGGCGGGCUAGAGUUCGGUAGGGGAGACUGGAAUUCCUGGUGUAGCGGUGAAAUGCGCAGAUAUCAGGAGGAACACCGGUGGCGAAGGCGGGUCUCUGGGCCGAUACUGACGCUGAGGAGCGAAAGCGUGGGGAGCGAACAGG